UACGUAGGGGGCUAGCGUUGUCCGGAUUUAUUGGGUUUAAAGGGUGCGUAGGCGGCUUUUUAAGUCAGUGGUGAAAGACAACAGCUCAACUGUUGCAGUGCCAUUGAUACUGAAGAGCUUGAGUACAGAUGAGGUAGGCGGAAUUUAUGGUGUAGCGGUGAAAUGCAUAGAUACCAUAAAGAACACCUAUUGCGAAGGCAGCUUACUAAGCUGUAACUGACGCUGAGGCACGAAAGUGUGGGGAUCAAACAGG
This 253-nucleotide ribosomal RNA is filed under the name uncultured bacterium. Its description in RNAcentral is "partial 16S ribosomal RNA". It matches the Rfam family "Bacterial small subunit ribosomal RNA", at positions 524 to 776 of the family's 1533-position model. The record is from RNAcentral.